RNAcentral lists this ribosomal RNA (467 nucleotides) under uncultured bacterium. Its description in RNAcentral is "partial 16S ribosomal RNA". It matches the Rfam family "Bacterial small subunit ribosomal RNA", at positions 28 to 507 of the family's 1533-position model. The record is from RNAcentral.
GAUGAACGCUGACAGAAUGCUUAACGCAUGCAAGUCAACUUGAAUUUGGGUUUUUAACUUAGGUUUGGGUGGCGGACGGGUGAGUAACGCGUAAAGAACUUGCCUCACAGCUAGGGACAACAUUUGGAAACGAAUGCUAAUACCUAAUAUUAUGAUAAUAGGGCAUCCUAUAAUUAUGAAAGCUAUAAGCGCUGUGAGAGAGCUUUGCGUCCCAUUAGCUAGUUGGAGAGGUAACGGCUCACCAAGGCGAUGAUGGGUAGCCGGCCUGAGAGGGUGAUCGGCCACAAGGGGACUGAGACACGGCCCUUACUCCUACGGGAGGCAGCAGUGGGGAAUAUUGGACAAUGGACCGAGAGUCUGAUCCAGCAAUUCUGUGUGCACGAUGAAGUUUUUCGGAAUGUAAAGUGCUUUCAGUUGGGAAGAAACAAAUGACGGUACCAACAGAAGAAGUGACGGCUAAAUACGUG